Molecule: long non-coding RNA, 341 nt
Organism: Telopea speciosissima
Lineage: Eukaryota; Viridiplantae; Streptophyta; Magnoliopsida; Proteales; Proteaceae
Exons: 2
Source: RefSeq, a predicted model, not a curated record
GCUUUUGCAUCCCAGAUUCUAAUACUAUUUUUUGUUUUAUGAAUUUCAUCAGCGGAAUAGAUUUUCAUUUGGCUGCAUCACUGCCUUUAAUAAAUUGCUUCUCAAUGAGUUGGCUACUCCAGCAAGGUGGAAUGUCAUGCUGAAAUCCACGCAUCCCUAGACCUCUUAGGUUGCAUCCAAGAAGAAAAGUAUAGCAGAUGAAGCUGGAGUUAUGUUACAGGCAAAGUUGAGGCAGGUUGCUCCAACCACAUAGGUAGUCCAUGUAUUUUAUAAUUUUUUUUUGGUUAACAUGUAUUUUAUAAUACCUGGUUUGAAAUAUAGGAACUUCAGGCUUUCCCCAA